GACGAACGCUGGCGGCGUGCCUAAUGCAUGCAAGUCGAACGCACAGUUUAUACCGUAGCUUGCUACACCAUAGACUGUGAGUUGCGAACGGGUGAGUAACGCGUAGGUAACCUGCCUGGUAGCGGGGGAUAACUAUUGGAAACGAUAGCUAAUACCGCAUAAUAUUAAUUAUUGCAUGAUAAUUAAUUGAAAGGUGCAAUUGCACCACUACCAGAUGGACCUGCGUUGUAUUAGCUAGUAGGUGAGGUAACGGCUCACCUAGGCGACGAUACAUAGCCGACCUGAGAGGGUGAUCGGCCACACUGGGACUGAGACACGGCCCAGACUCCUACGGGAGGCAGCAGUAGGGAAUCUUCGGCAAUGGACGAAAGUCUGACCGAGCAACGCCGCGUGAGUGAAGAAGGUUUUCGGAUCGUAAAGCUCUGUUGUAAGAGAAGAACGGGUGUGAGAGUGGAAAGUUCACACUGUGACGGUAUCUUACCAGAAAGGGACGGCUAACUACGUG
This 505-nucleotide ribosomal RNA is filed under the name uncultured bacterium. RNAcentral's name for it is "partial 16S ribosomal RNA". It matches the Rfam family "Bacterial small subunit ribosomal RNA", at positions 28 to 507 of the family's 1533-position model. The record is from RNAcentral.